AAUCACCUAUAGGAAUUGCUGUAUUCUCAAGAGCCUUCCUCACAAUAUAUGGACUUACAGGAAUUCCCUCAGCCUGCAAAGUUGCAUUACUCAAAAGU
Molecule: long non-coding RNA, 98 nt
Organism: Neltuma alba
Lineage: Eukaryota; Viridiplantae; Streptophyta; Magnoliopsida; Fabales; Fabaceae
Exons: 3
Source: RefSeq, a predicted model, not a curated record